This 808-nucleotide long non-coding RNA is filed under the name Trifolium pratense (red clover). RNAcentral describes it as "long non-coding RNA (TPRA_LNC011535)". The record is from RNAcentral. Lineage: Eukaryota; Viridiplantae; Streptophyta; Magnoliopsida; Fabales; Fabaceae.
GAAAUUCAUUUCUUCUUUACAAAGGUAUAGAGAUGAUGAAACUCAUUUUAUUAAUUUUUAUCUUCUUCCUUUUUAUUUCUAUGAUUUAUAUCAUAUUUAUUUCUUACUUUUGUUUUUAUUUUCCAGAUCUAUAAAAGGCAUAGGAAAACUCAACAUGAAUCUAAAACGUUGUGAAAGAGAAGAUAAUGAAAAUAAAAAAGAUGAAGGUUCCACUAAAUGAAAGUGAAGAAAGUGAAGGGUUCCAAGAAAGAAGAGAAACGCCAGAAAUUAGAUUAGUGAGCAAAACAAAAACAAUAUCCUUUUUGAUCUAUUCUUUCUCCAUAUUUUUAUUCUACAAUGAUCUCUGCUCUAUUUUUUCUUUGUUUUCAACUCAUACUUUAUUGGUAUAACAAUAGUCUCUUUCUUUCUACAACUUAUUUUAACAUAACUUGUCUUUUCUUCUUUAUUAAAAAUAAUCGGUAUAGCAAUUGCUAAAAAUGGAUAAAAGCAAAAUAAAGAAGAUAAAGUUCUACUUUGAAUAAGGUUUGAUUUUUUUGGUUACGAUUGUUGAUCCAUAUGAAUAAAUGUUUUGUUUUCACUAUAUUUUGAAGGUUUAAGAUUAAAGAAAACUUUUUUAAUAGUUUAAAUUUUUUUGUAUUGUUGUAUAAAUUCUUCAAAACUUUUUUAAAUAAUGAAUUCAAAAUUUUGAGACACUGAUUUGUUUUGUAGGUCUCAAGGAGUAUAAAUAUUGAAAGUGCAAAAUGAGAAAGAGAUGGUGAGGGAUAUGCACGUGAAUGAAGACAGUGACUUGAGAUCUAGAAAAUUUGUU